RNAcentral lists this transfer RNA (70 nucleotides) under Apis mellifera scutellata (African honeybee). Its description in RNAcentral is "tRNA-Asn". Lineage: Eukaryota; Metazoa; Arthropoda; Insecta; Hymenoptera; Apidae. The record is from RNAcentral. RNAcentral also lists the same sequence under 1 other name.
UUUUAGUUAGAAUUUUUUAAAUUCAUAUGAUUUAUUAACAAUAAAUUGCUAAUUAUUUAGCUUUAACUAA